This is a long non-coding RNA of Armigeres subalbatus, 418 nucleotides long. RefSeq lists it as uncharacterized. The record is from RefSeq and is a predicted model, not a curated record. NCBI's taxonomy places the organism in Eukaryota, Metazoa, Arthropoda, Insecta, Diptera, Culicidae. The transcript has 3 exons.
CAAAGACAGUUGUAGUGCGCGCCGUUAAUAAAAGUUAUAUUCCAGAAGAAAAAAAACCUAAAUAGUUAAAAAGUGCAUGCAUAUGUAGUGAAUUUGUGCUAGAAAUAGUUCAUACUUAAAACCUUAAAGCUAUUAGUACGGUGAAAAGAUAAUAGCCUCGAAAAUCAAGCCAAUUCACCUUCAGUAGGUGCUAAUUAGUGUAGAAGAAAAGGUCCGAAUCUGCUCUCGGGCCUUUUCUUGUCUUUCUUUGUCCUCGGGAGUGACCCCGUUGGACAUUUUACUCUGCAGUGGCAUCCAGGAGCGUUGGUCGACAACGGAAUAAGCCGGAAGAACGCCAUAUAGGGGUCUAGUGCGAUCUACGAGGAUAGACAAAAGACCAUCGCCACUCUCAGCCGCCAUCACGCCCACCUGGUCGCAG